AUACGAAGGGUGCAAGCGUUACUCGGAAUUACUGGGCGUAAAGCGUGAGUAGGUGGUUGUUUAAGUCUGUCGUGAAAGCCCUGGGCUCAACCUGGGAGUGGCGAUGGAAACUGGGCGACUAGAGUGUGGCAGAGGGUAGUGGCAUUCCUGGUGUAGCAGUGAAAUGCGUAGAGAUCAGGAGGAACAUCCGUGGCGAAGGCGACUGCCUGGGCCAACACUGACACUGAGGCACGAAAGCGUGGGGAGCAAACAGGAUUAGAUACCCUGGUAGUCCACGCCCUAAACGAUGCGAACUGGAUGUUGGGUGCAAUUUGGCACGCAGUAUCGAAGCUAACGCGUUAAGUUCGCCGCCUGGGGAGUACGGUCGCAAGACUGAAACUCAAAUGAAUUGGCGGGG
This 397-nucleotide ribosomal RNA is filed under the name uncultured bacterium. Its description in RNAcentral is "partial 16S ribosomal RNA". It matches the Rfam family "Bacterial small subunit ribosomal RNA", at positions 523 to 918 of the family's 1533-position model. The record is from RNAcentral.